This 396-nucleotide ribosomal RNA is filed under the name uncultured Polaribacter sp. RNAcentral's name for it is "bacterial SSU rRNA". It matches the Rfam family "Bacterial small subunit ribosomal RNA", at positions 96 to 490 of the family's 1533-position model. Lineage: Bacteria; Pseudomonadati; Bacteroidota; Flavobacteriia; Flavobacteriales; Flavobacteriaceae. The record is from RNAcentral.
CGGCGCACGGGUGCGUAACGCGUAUAGAACCUACCUUUUACAGAGGAAUAGCCUUUAGAAAUGAAGAUUAAUGCCUCAUGGUAUUGUAGACUGGCAUCAGUUUAUAAUUAAAGAUUUAUCGGUAAAAGAUGGCUAUGCGUCCUAUUAGUUAGUUGGUAAGGUAACGGCUUACCAAGACAGCGAUAGGUAGGGGUCCUGAGAGGGAGAUCCCCCACACUGGUACUGAGACACGGACCAGACUCCUACGGGAGGCAGCAGUGAGGAAUAUUGGACAAUGGAGGAGACUCUGAUCCAGCCAUGCCGCGUGUAGGAAGAAUGCCCUAUGGGUUGUAAACUACUUUUAUACAGGAAGAAACACUGGUAUGUAUACCAGCUUGACGGUACUGUAAGAAUAAG